GAUGUUUGCUGUUUGUUGAUUGAUUGAUUGAUUGUUGUUUGUUGAGUGGUAUCAAACUUUGGUAUUUGUAGUUCCUGACCAUAGGUAACAGACCUUGCACUAUUCUUUUUUCUGAACUUUUUUGUGAUUAUGUCUUAUGUGGAUAUCAUAUUCUCUUUUUGGUAUUACUGUUGUCCAGUCCUUCGAAUAAUGCAUUUCUAAGUAUUUAAGGUACAGGACAUAUCACAUUUGCUCUUUAUUGUGUUGCUAAGGACAUUGAUGGGUUGAGUUGGCAUAUAGCGCAGUCGUGGAUCUCUCAUCAACCUGCUUAGCUCUUUCUGGAUAGGACAGAGGUACAAUAUUUACAUCCAUGGCAGAAGGUUCUUAACCCUGAACUCAUCAAAGGUCCUUGGACUCAAGAGGAAGAUGACAAAAUUAUUGAUCUUGUAAGCAAGUAUGGACCAACAAAAUGGUCUCAUUGCAAGGACCUGUAGAAGGGCCCUCCCACCUCAGCGCAGGUGAUUUCCCCU
Molecule: non-coding RNA, 509 nt
Organism: Triticum urartu
Lineage: Eukaryota; Viridiplantae; Streptophyta; Magnoliopsida; Poales; Poaceae
Source: RefSeq, a predicted model, not a curated record